RNAcentral lists this ribosomal RNA (459 nucleotides) under uncultured Rhodocyclaceae bacterium. Its description in RNAcentral is "bacterial SSU rRNA". It matches the Rfam family "Bacterial small subunit ribosomal RNA", at positions 923 to 1382 of the family's 1533-position model. The record is from RNAcentral. Lineage: Bacteria; Pseudomonadati; Pseudomonadota; Betaproteobacteria; Rhodocyclales; Rhodocyclaceae.
GCACAAGCGGUGGAUGAUGUGGAUUAAUUCGAUGCAACGCGAAAACCUUACCUACCCUUGACAUGUCCGGAAUCCCGAAGAGAUUUGGGUGUGCUCGCAAGAGAGCCGGAACACAGGUGCUGCAUGGCUGUCGUCAGCUCGUGUCGUGAGAUGUUGGGUUAAGUCCCGCAAUGAGCGCAACCCUUGUCAUUAGUUGCCAUCAUUUGGUUGGGCACUCUAAUGAGACUGCCGGUGACAAACCGGAGGAAGGUGGGGAUGACGUCAAGUCCUCAUGGCCCAUAUGGGUAGGGCUUCACACGUCAUACAAUGGCCGGUACAAAGGGCAGCGACACAGCGAUGUGAAGCGAAUCCCGAAAAGCCGGUCUCAGUCCGGAUUGGAGUCUGCAACUCGACUCCAUGAAGUUGGAAUCGCUAGUAAUCGCGGAUCAGCACGCCGCGGUGAAUACGUUCCCGGGCCUU